GAUGAACGCUGGCGGCGUGCCUAAUACAUGCAAGUCGAGCGAACAGAUGAGGAGCUUGCUCCUCUGUCGUUAGCGGCGGACGGGUGAGUAACACGUGGAUAACCUACCUAUAAGACUGGGAUAACUUCGGGAAACCGGAGCUAAUACCGGAGAAUAUAUUGAACCGCAUGGUUCAAUAGUGAAAGACGGUUUUGCUGUCACUUAUAGAUGGAUCCGCGCCGCAUUGGCUAGUUGGUAAGGUAACGGCUUACCAAGGCAACGAUGCGUAGCCGACCGGGGAGGGUGAUCGGCCACACGGGAGCGGGGACACGGUCCAGACGCCUACGGGAGGCAGCAGUAGGGAAUCGGCCGCAAUGGGCGAAAGCAUGACGGAGCAACGCCGCGUGAGUGAUGAAGGUCUUCGGAUCGUAAAACUCUGUUAUUAGUGAAGAACAAAUGUGUAAGUAACUAUGCACGUCUUGACGGUACCUAAUCAGAAAGCCCCGGCUAACUACGUG
RNAcentral lists this ribosomal RNA (497 nucleotides) under uncultured bacterium. RNAcentral describes it as "partial 16S ribosomal RNA". It matches the Rfam family "Bacterial small subunit ribosomal RNA", at positions 28 to 507 of the family's 1533-position model. The record is from RNAcentral.